This 146-nucleotide unclassified non-coding RNA is filed under the name soil metagenome. Its description in RNAcentral is "partial internal transcribed spacer 1". The record is from RNAcentral.
CUGAGUGAGGGCCUUCGGGCUCGACCUCCAACCCUUUGUGAACACCAACUUGUUGCUUCGGGGGCGACCCUGCCGUUUCGACGGCGAGCGCCCCCGGAGACCAUCAAACACUGCAUCUUUGCGUCGGAGCUUAAGUAAAUUAAACA